RNAcentral lists this ribosomal RNA (508 nucleotides) under uncultured bacterium. Its description in RNAcentral is "partial 16S ribosomal RNA". It matches the Rfam family "Bacterial small subunit ribosomal RNA", at positions 28 to 523 of the family's 1533-position model. The record is from RNAcentral.
GAUGAACGCUAGCUACAGGCUUAACACAUGCAAGUCGAGGGGAAACGACAUCGAAAGCUUGCUUUUGAUGGGCGUCGACCGGCGCACGGGUGAGUAACGCGUAUCCAACCUGCCCACCACUUGGGGAUAACCUUGCGAAAGUAAGACUAAUACCCAAUGACGUCUCUAGAAGACAUCUGAAAGAGAUUAAAGAUUUAUCGGUGAUGGAUGGGGAUGCGUCUGAUUAGCUUGUUGGCGGGGUAACGGCCCACCAAGGCGACGAUCAGUGGGGGUUCUGGGAGGAAGGUCCCCCACAUUGGAACUGGGACCCGGGCCAAACUCCUACGGGAGGCAGCAGUGAGGAAUAUUGGUCAAUGGGCGAGAGCCUGAACCAGCCAAGUAGCGUGCAGGAUGACGGCCCUAUGGGUUGUAAACUGCUUUUAUAAGGGAAUAAAGUGAGUCUCGUGAGACUUUUUGCAUGUACCUUAUGAAUAAGGACCGGCUAAUUCCGUGCCAGCCGCCGCCGUAA